AAGCUCGUAGUUGAAUUUCGGGGUUAGUAGGUUGGUCAUGCCUCUGGUAUGUACUGGUCUCACUGAUUCCUCCUUCCUUAUGAACCGUAAUGCCAUUAAUUUGGUGUUGCGGGGAAUUUGGACCGUUACUUUGAAAAAAUUAGAGUGUUUAAAGCAAGCUAACGCUUGAAUACAUUAGCAUGGAAUAAUGAAAUAGGACGUUCGAUCUUAUUUUGUUGGUUUCUUAGGAUUGACGUAAUGAUUAAUAGGGAUAGUUGGG
RNAcentral lists this ribosomal RNA (259 nucleotides) under uncultured Glomus. RNAcentral describes it as "partial 18S ribosomal RNA". It matches the Rfam family "Eukaryotic small subunit ribosomal RNA", at positions 624 to 886 of the family's 1831-position model. The record is from RNAcentral. Lineage: Eukaryota; Fungi; Glomeromycota; Glomeromycetes; Glomerales; Glomeraceae.